AUUGAACGCUGGCGGCAGGCCUAACACAUGCAAGUCGAGCGGAUGAAGGGAGCUUGCUCCUGGAUUCAGCGGCGGACGGGUGAGUAAUGCCUAGGAAUCUGCCUGGUAGUGGGGGAUAACGUCCGGAAACGGGCGCUAAUACCGCAUACGUCCUGAGGGAGAAAGUGGGGGAUCUUCGGACCUCACGCUAUCAGAUGAGCCUAGGUCGGAUUAGCUAGUUGGUGGGGUAAAGGCCUACCAAGGCGACGAUCCGUAACUGGCCUGAGAGGAUGAUCAGUCACACUGGAACUGAGACACGGUCCAGACUCCUACGGGAGGCAGCAGUGGGGAAUAUUGGACAAUGGGCGAAAGCCUGAUCCAGCCAUGCCGCGUGUGUGAAGAAAGUCUUCGGAUUGUAAAGCACUUUAAGUUGGGAGGAAGGGCAGUAAGUUAAUACCUUGCUGUUUUGACGUUACCAACAGAAUAAGCACCGGCUAACUUCGUG
RNAcentral lists this ribosomal RNA (484 nucleotides) under uncultured bacterium. Its description in RNAcentral is "partial 16S ribosomal RNA". It matches the Rfam family "Bacterial small subunit ribosomal RNA", at positions 30 to 507 of the family's 1533-position model. The record is from RNAcentral.